This 389-nucleotide ribosomal RNA is filed under the name uncultured bacterium. RNAcentral's name for it is "bacterial SSU rRNA". It matches the Rfam family "Bacterial small subunit ribosomal RNA", at positions 29 to 417 of the family's 1533-position model. The record is from RNAcentral.
AUUGAACGCUGGCGGCAUGCUUUACACAUGCAAGUCGAACGGCAGCACGGGGGCAACCCUGGUGGCGAGUGGCGAACGGGUGAGUAACACAUCGGAACGUGUCCAGUUGCGGGGGAUAACCCAUCGAAAGGUGGGCUAAUACCGCAUGAGCUGGCAACAGGAAAGCGGGGGACCCGCAAGGGCCUUGUGCGAUUGGAGCGGCCGAUGUCCGAUUAGCUAGUUGGUGGGGUAAAGGCCUACCAAGGCUUCGAUCGGUAGCUGGUCUGAGAGGAUGAUCAGCCACACUGGGACUGAGACACGGCCCAGACUCCUACGGGAGGCAGCAGUGGGGAAUUUUGGACAAUGGGGGCAACCCUGAUCCAGCCAUGCCGCGUGAGUGAAGAAGGCCU